CUGGAAGUUCUCUGAACAAGGGACAUGCUCUAAAUCUGUUUUGAGCAACUUGGGUUGAAUUAUGCAAUACUGGGGAAAAUCAUCAACGGAAAGGAUGGAACCUGAGCAUGAACUUUGUGCCUUCCGUGCAAGGCUGACAAAGGGCACUAAACUGCUGUGCUUGUGAAAGAGAGGAGAGCAAGCAAUAUAUUUAAUAAACGUACCCAAUUCAACUUGGAAAACUUCUGAUAUUUUGAAAGACUUACUAGAGCUGGUUAGCAGUAGGUGACUAUAAAAUCCAAGCCAGACAUCUCCAGCCAUUCCUAGGGUCAAAGACUGGACUUUAACCAUCUGUGUUUAUUCUUUCCACCUCAAAUCCCACUAACUAAGUGUUACAUGAAGAUUGGCAGUCUGGAGAUUCUAAGUGUUUUUAUUCCCCAGGAUGUAAUACAGAGAGAGGAGGAUCACUUGGGUUUGCCAAAAUACACUCCUCAUUUCACCUCCAGCAGCAGUAGCUAUGGAAGGAGUCGUGUGAUCAUCCUGUUCGCAGUAGACUCUCUUUUUCUCGCUGGACCUUGACAAUCCAAAUGUGCAAAGAGAAAAAGAAAGGAUAAACUGAAUGCUGAAGGUUAUUGCAGGUGAGAUUCUGUUGAAAAUGUAAAGGAAAAUGAAAGCAACCAGGACGCUGAAGGAUUCCAGUUUUCAUUAUCACACUUGGACUAUUGUACAUGUCUGCACCAAAAGUAAUGCCUCCUAUUUUUUCUGUGAAAAUGACAAAGACAUGUAGAGCACAAUACUGUUUGAUAGAGCAUAUUCACAGCUACAAGACUAAUUUUCAGCACACCAUUGCUAGGUAUGCACUUUUGUAUGGGAAAUUGGUAAUCACAGCCUGAAACUCUGAUUAAUCAGCUGAGGCAAGUGUCAGGUCAGCUGUGGGAGCGCAGGUGAGAGUAAUUUAGCUGUGCUCCCCGGCGGGGUGGAGCUUGACUCCUCCUCCUCUAUACUUCAUUUAAGGGCUGACCACUACUAAGGCAGUAUUUCUCUUGGAGGUUGCUCCCCAGUUGAGGUUGGCUCAGUAUUUCCUAGCAAAGGCAUCCAUAUUGGUGAGUUUUUCCUUUUAAAUAACUUUUGAAAUAUCUGUUAUAAUCUUUGUAUCAUUCUACCUUAUAACUUUCAUCAGUGGUGAACAGGUGCCUACAUGCCAUGUAAUAAAAAUAAUGAUGCUUGGAAGGUUCA
This 1215-nucleotide long non-coding RNA is filed under the name Coturnix japonica (Japanese quail). Its description in RNAcentral is "lncRNA (ENSCJPG00005002086.1)". The record is from RNAcentral. Lineage: Eukaryota; Metazoa; Chordata; Aves; Galliformes; Phasianidae.